UGGGGAAUUUUGGACAAUGGGCGAAAGCCUGAUCCAGCAAUGCCGCGUGUGUGAAGAAGGCCUUCGGGUUGUAAAGCACUUUUGUCCGGAAAGAAAUCCUUGGCUCUAAUACAGUCGGGGGAUGACGGUACCGGAAGAAUAAGCACCGGCUAACUACGUGCCAGCAGCCGCGGUAAUACGUAGGGUGUAAGCGUUAAUCGGAAUUACUGGGCGUAAAGCGUGCGCAGGCGGUUUGCUAAGACCGAUGUGAAAUCCCCGGGCUCAACCUGGGAACUGCAUUGGUGGCUGGCAGGCUAGAGUAUGGCAGAGGGGGGUAGAAUUCCACGUGUAGCAGUGAAAUGCGUAGAGAUGUGGAGGGAAUACCGAUGGCGAAGGCAGCCCCCUGGGCUAAUACUGACGCUCAUGCACGAAAGCGUGGGGAGCAAACAGGAUUAGAUACCCUGGUAGUCCACGCCCUAAACGAUGUCAACUAGUUGUUGGGGAUUCAUUUCCUUAGUAACGUAGCUAACGCGUGAAGUUGACCGCCUGGGGAGUACGGUCGCAAGAUUAAAACUCAAAUGAAUUGACGGGGUCAUAGCUGUUUCCUG
Molecule: ribosomal RNA, 587 nt
Filed under: uncultured bacterium
Lineage: Bacteria
Description: partial 16S ribosomal RNA
Rfam family: Bacterial small subunit ribosomal RNA
Source: RNAcentral